RNAcentral lists this transfer RNA (89 nucleotides) under Lactiplantibacillus plantarum. RNAcentral describes it as "Lactobacillus plantarum tRNA-Ile". It matches the Rfam family "tRNA". From Rfam's summary of the family: Transfer RNA (tRNA) molecules are approximately 80 nucleotides in length. The record is from RNAcentral. Lineage: Bacteria; Bacillati; Bacillota; Bacilli; Lactobacillales; Lactobacillaceae.
GGAGCUAUACUCAAGUGGUCAAGAGGGCGGGUUGAUAUCUCGCUAGGUCGAUUUUUAUCGAUGCGUGGGUUCGAAUCCCACUAGCUAAA